RNA transcript from Triticum aestivum (bread wheat), 1245 nucleotides. It is a transcript of the gene named DEAD-box ATP-dependent RNA helicase 27, with no coding region annotated. NCBI's taxonomy places the organism in Eukaryota, Viridiplantae, Streptophyta, Magnoliopsida, Poales, Poaceae. The record is from RefSeq and is a predicted model, not a curated record. The transcript is spliced from 5 exons.
GAUGAGUGAGGUGUUACCUGGACAAGUUUUGCUCGUCACCCCUUCCUCACGAAGCCGUGCAUAGCUAGGGUUGGGGCCGCCGCCGCCUCCCGUCCAAGCUCCUUCGGGCUGUCCACUGGACAAGGCAUUCUCAGAUCCGCUUCUCCCCCAAACCUUCUGGUCUUCACGUUCCACCAUGCCGCCAUGAUGGUUGCAGAGGAGGGGAGGAAGGGGAUGGCAUCGAGGUUCUGAUGGAGGCCCUAGCUCAAGGCGGCGAGUUGCAGAGGUGCGGUCAUUCCUCUCAUUCUUUGGUCGUUCUAUUUAAGAUCUUGCCCCGUCCCUGAACUUGUUGUCAAACUCUUGGAUAUUUUAAUUGGUGGCACUAACAUGAGAAGUGAGGCCAACCAGCUUGUGAAGGGAGUCAAUCUAUUAGUUGCUACGCCGGGCAGGCUUCUGGACCAUCUGAAAAGUACCGGUGGUUUCAACUACAAAGGGCUAAAGUCUAUCCUUUUUCUUGUCCAGGACUGGAAGUGUCUACCUGUUAAUACUGAAUUAGAUGCCUUAUAAUUGAUGAAGUUGACCACAUACUUGAGCAAAAUUUCGAGGAGGACAUGAAACAAAUAUUUACCUCCCUCAGGCUCAAAAUGUUAGUGGAUCUGUUAUUCAACCUAUUCAAACUUCCCCCAAUUUCCCUGUCAUCCCACAGGUUGAAGAUAUUGCAAAUUUUACGUUUGGGAAAAAGAAAUAAGGACACCGAAAACUUGUUUAUGUUGGAGUAGAUGACUUGACUCUGAAUUAAAGAUUUUGAUUCAGCCUGGAGGUCCACAAACACUCAUUCUUGUAUUCAACAAACUGAGAGAUGUGCAUCUUUACAAUAAAUUUGCUGACUGCGAUCUGAAUUGGACCCUUUUAUCCUUGAAGAUGCACCUUCAAUUCGGCCAGGACACUGUCGAGAGCUCAGGAUACAUACAAGUCGAGCUAAUCUAUGACGACCCAAAACUCUGCCAAGUAGUCUUGGAUACUUGGUACUGUGAAAACCGCAAUCAUCUAUAGCACUAUGCUCCCUGGUUUUAAAGGCCUCACAGCCAAUUGAGGACUCACCACAGGAAUAGAGUGUCAUGUCCUUUUGUACCCAAGAGGAUUUGGAAGAGUGUUUGAUAGCAUAUGAAAAACAAAGGGAUUUAACAAAGAGGUUUGAUUGAAUGUAAAUUUUCCUCCAAAAUGUAGUACAAAUGAAUUCUACAGAAAAAUUCCUAAGAAUUUCAA